Molecule: ribosomal RNA, 464 nt
Filed under: uncultured bacterium
Lineage: Bacteria
Description: partial 16S ribosomal RNA
Rfam family: Bacterial small subunit ribosomal RNA
Source: RNAcentral
CUACGGGGUGCUGCAGUGGGGAAUUUUGGACAAUGGGCGAAAGCCUGAUCCAGCAAUACCGCGUGCAGGAAGAAGGCCCUCGGGUUGUAAACUGCUUUUGUACGGAACGAAACGGCGCGCUCUAAUAAAGUGCGCUAAUGACGGUACCGUAAGAAUAAGCACCGGCUAACUACGUGCCAGCAGCCGCGGUAAUACGUAGGGUGCAAGCGUUAAUCGGAAUUACUGGGCGUAAAGCGUGCGCAGGCGGUUUUGUAAGACAGGCGUGAAAUCCCCGGGCUCAACCUGGGAAUUGCGCUUGUGACUGCAAGGCUAGAGUACGGUAGAGGGGGGUAGAAUUCCGCGUGUAGCAGUGAAAUGCGUAGAUAUGCGGAGGAACACCGAUGGCGAAGGCAGCCCCCUGGACCUGUACUGACGCUCAUGCACGAAAGCGUGGGGAGCAAACAGGAUUAGAUACCCCAGUAGUC